Solenopsis invicta (red fire ant) is the source of this 568-nucleotide long non-coding RNA. RefSeq lists it as uncharacterized. The transcript is spliced from 3 exons. NCBI's taxonomy places the organism in Eukaryota, Metazoa, Arthropoda, Insecta, Hymenoptera, Formicidae. The record is from RefSeq and is a predicted model, not a curated record.
ACGUAGUCAUGACGUAGCAACAUGGCGUCGAGCUAUUAUACCGACACGGCCAGUGCGUAGUGCUGCGUAGUACGCGGACGAUGCGGACGGUCGGAUCACGAGUGUCGCUGGUGAUCGGUGAGCCGUUGUCGAUAUGAGCGCGCCUCUGCUCGGCGUUCCCCUGGAGAAGAGUUUCGCGUGCAGUUUGUUUGUCGGCGCCACGUAUACGCGGGUAGAUCGCCGCGCUUUCCAUCAUCCGUAUUCGAUUCGAGACCUCUCUGAUGUCGAAGAGGUAUUUCCGCGCAGCACGAUUUUGUGUGAUAACGAGAGAAAGGGGGGUUUUACGGUGAUUAGCGAUUGUGGACAACGAGACACUCGAUGGCGACUUAUCCGCCCGGUGACCCGGGACGAAGAACAUCGCGGGAUUCUCGAGGAUUUGACGAAAGAUUUGUUUAUCAUUGCUAACGCAACGGACGCGGGAUGGACGGGCUUCGGAACGGAGGCGUUGUCGCGGCUCGUUUAACAGAACGCGAUGGAUGUAGGAUGGAUCGGAGCUGGAGCGAGUGGCGUCGCGAGAUUCUUGUAACAG